UGGACUAAAGUGGAAAAGAACAGGAGUGAACACAGCAGAAGCAGGAGCUCAUGCUGGAUGAUCAGCACUCAGA
Pangasianodon gigas (Mekong giant catfish) is the source of this 73-nucleotide non-coding RNA. The record is from the annotation of a GenBank genome assembly. Lineage: Eukaryota; Metazoa; Chordata; Actinopteri; Siluriformes; Pangasiidae.